RNAcentral lists this ribosomal RNA (460 nucleotides) under uncultured bacterium. Its description in RNAcentral is "partial 16S ribosomal RNA". It matches the Rfam family "Bacterial small subunit ribosomal RNA", at positions 338 to 795 of the family's 1533-position model. The record is from RNAcentral.
CCUACGGGGGGCAGCAGUGAGGAAUAUUGGUCAAUGGACGAGAGUCUGAACCAGCCAAGUAGGGUGAAGGAUGACUGCCCUAUGGGUUGUAAACUUCUUUUAUAUGGGAAUAAAACGUUCCACGUGUGGGAUUUUGUAUGUACCAUAUGAAUAAGGAUCGGCUAACUCCGUGCCAGCAGCCGCGGUAAUACGGAGGAUCCGAGCGUUAUCCGGAUUUAUUGGGUUUAAAGGGAGCGUAGGUGGAUUGUUAAGUCAGUUGUGAAAGUUUGCGGCUCAACCGUAAAAUUGCAGUUGAAACUGGCAGUCUUGAGUACAGUAGAGGUGGGCGGAAUUCGUGGGGUAGCGGUGAAAUGCUUAGAUAUCACGAAGAACUCCGAUUGCGAAGGCAGUUCACUGGACUGCAACUGACACUGAGGCUCGAAAGUGUGGGUAUCAAACAGGAUUAGAUACCCUUGUAGUC